GACGAACGCUGGCGGCGUGCUUAACACAUGCAAGUCGAACGGAAAGGCCCUGCUUGCAGGGUGCUCGAGUGGCGAACGGGUGAGUAACACGUGGGUGUUCUGCCCCUUACUUUGGGAUAAGCCUGGGAAACUGGGUCUAAUACUGGAUAGGACCAUGCCGUCGGCGGUGUGGUGGUAAGAUUAGUUUCGGUGAGGGAUGGGCUCGCGGCCUAUCAGCUUGUUGGUGGGGUAGUGGCCCACCGAGGCGUCGAGGGGUAGCCGGCGUGAGAGGGGGGACGGCCAGAGGGGGAAGGAGAUGCGGCGAAGACUCCGGGGGGAGGCAGCGGGGGGGAAUAGAGCAAGGGGGGCGGAAGGGUGAUGCAGCCACGCCGCGUGGGGGAGGGGGGUCGUGGGGUUGUAAACCGUUCGGGCAUGAGAAGAAGCGUGAGUGACGGGAAGGGGUAAAGAAGCACCGGCUAACUACGGG
Molecule: ribosomal RNA, 466 nt
Filed under: uncultured bacterium
Lineage: Bacteria
Description: partial 16S ribosomal RNA
Rfam family: Bacterial small subunit ribosomal RNA
Source: RNAcentral